This 76-nucleotide transfer RNA is filed under the name Thermoleophilia bacterium. RNAcentral's name for it is "tRNA-Phe". It matches the Rfam family "tRNA". From Rfam's summary of the family: Transfer RNA (tRNA) molecules are approximately 80 nucleotides in length. Their secondary structure includes four short double-helical elements and three loops (D, anti-codon, and T loops). Further hydrogen bonds mediate the characteristic L-shaped molecular structure. tRNAs have two regions of fundamental functional importance: the anti-codon, which is responsible for specific mRNA codon recognition, and the 3' end, to which the tRNAs corresponding amino acid is attached (by aminoacyl-tRNA synthetases). tRNAs cope with the degeneracy of the genetic code in two manners: having more than one tRNA (with a specific anti-codon) for a particular amino acid; and 'wobble' base-pairing, i.e. permitting non-standard base-pairing at the 3rd anti-codon position. The record is from RNAcentral. Lineage: Bacteria; Bacillati; Actinomycetota; Thermoleophilia.
GGCGAGGUAGCUCAGUCGGUAGAGCGCAGGACUGAAAAUCCUGGCGUCCCCGGUUCGAUUCCGGGCCUCGCCACCA